UUAUCUUAGUGGCGGACGGGUGAGUAACGCGUGGGUAACCUGCCUUACACUGGGGGAUAACACUUAGAAAUAGGUGCUAAUACCGCAUAACAGGAGAAGACGCAUGUCUUUUCCUUGAAAACUCCGGUGGUGUAAGAUGGACCCGCGUCUGAUUAGCUGGUUGGCGGGGUAACGGCCCACCAAGGCGACGAUCAGUAGCCGGCCUGAGAGGGUGAACGGCCACAUUGGGACUGAGACACGGCCCAAACUCCUACGGGAGGCAGCAG
RNAcentral lists this ribosomal RNA (266 nucleotides) under uncultured bacterium. Its description in RNAcentral is "partial 16S ribosomal RNA". It matches the Rfam family "Bacterial small subunit ribosomal RNA", at positions 87 to 354 of the family's 1533-position model. The record is from RNAcentral.